UGACAGAAUGAGGACAGGAAAACUGAUGCAUGCGGCUUUUGCAUACAGAAUGGUUGCACAUGCAAAGUGUGGUGUUAAUUAUGCACCAUGCCUGCACCAAUCCAUGCAUGCCAGCUUGUGCCAGAGGGAUGACACGUGCUCCUGAAACCUGGGAUUGAAGCCAAAGAUGCUAGAGCAGUUCAGGAGUCGGUGGGCACUCCAAAGCCUAAUGCAGCACCUCUUCAGCUAUGUCCUCUGCUAUCACGCUAUCCAUGAUGCGCAUAAAAAUGAAAGAUCCGGAGGCUUUCCUGGAGCUGCUCCAGCAUGCGUGGAUAAGUGGGAAUAAUUGGUGGAAAGACUCCCGUCACCGGUUGUUGAGCAGGACAAAGAUUAAAUCCUUAAUUAAAACAUUCACAUCUUUAAUUGUGUUUAUCAUAAUGACUAAGUCAUCUGCAUAUGCUAAGAGACAUAUUGGAACAUUAUCAUGUGGAAAAUCAAAACUAAAAAAGAUGACAUCUCAGUUUACAUAAAAGAGGUUCAAGGGGCACAUAAACCACUGUUAACCUUCAGUACAGUCUGAAUUUCACUGUACAACAUAUUGAUUAUGGCUAUAAAACUGAACAUGAAGGUUUCCCGCACCUUACACAAAUAU
Tachysurus vachellii is the source of this 631-nucleotide long non-coding RNA. RefSeq lists it as uncharacterized. The transcript is spliced from 3 exons. The record is from RefSeq and is a predicted model, not a curated record. NCBI's taxonomy places the organism in Eukaryota, Metazoa, Chordata, Actinopteri, Siluriformes, Bagridae.